This 258-nucleotide unclassified non-coding RNA is filed under the name plant metagenome. RNAcentral's name for it is "partial contains small subunit ribosomal RNA, internal transcribed spacer 1, and 5.8S ribosomal RNA". The stretch from base 210 to 258 matches the Rfam family "5.8S ribosomal RNA", at positions 1 to 49 of the family's 154-position model. The record is from RNAcentral.
UUUCCGUAGGUGAACCUGCGGAAGGAUCAUUACCAAAAGAUAAUCCUUCAACUCGAAAGAUCUUUUCCUUUGUGCUGGCUUUGACCGUAUGUAAUUUUGGGACUUAAACAUGGUAAGCCUUACGGUUUACCGGUCUCAAAAACAAUAUAUCACCCUUAUGAAAAACUUACUGAACAACUAAACAAUGAUUUUAAUAAUCUGUUUAAAACAACUUUCAACAACGGAUCUCUUGGUUCUCACAUCGAUGAAGAACGCAGC